Molecule: ribosomal RNA, 712 nt
Filed under: uncultured Chloroflexota bacterium
Lineage: Bacteria; Bacillati; Chloroflexota
Description: bacterial SSU rRNA
Rfam family: Bacterial small subunit ribosomal RNA
Source: RNAcentral
AGUGGCGGACGGGUGAGGAAGACGUAGGUGACCUGCCUUGAAGUGGGGGAUAACCAUUGGAAACGAUGGCUAAUACCGCAUACGCUCAGUGCAAUGGGAAUUGCGGUGAGGAAAGCUUCGGCGCUGGAAGAGGGGCCUACGGCCGAUUAGCUGGUUGGUGAGGUAACGGCUCACCAAGGCGAUGAUCGGUAGCUGGUCUGAGAGGACGAUCAGCCACACGGGAACUGAGACACGGUCCCGACUCCUACGGGGGGCAGCAGUGAGGAAUAUUCGGCAAUGGGGGAAACCCUGACCGAGCAACGCCGCGUGGUGGAAGACGGUCUUUGGAUUGUAAACUCCUUUUCUGCGGGAAGAGCGAGGACGGUACCGCAGGAAUCAGUCACGGCUAACUACGUGCCAGCAGCCGCAGUAAUACGUAGGUGGCAAGCGUUAUCCGGAAUUACUGGGCGUAAAGCGCACGCAGGUGGUUAUCUAAGACGGACGUGAAAGCGCCUGGCUUAACUGGGCGAGGUCGUUGGUGACUGGAUAACUGGAGGCGAGGAGAGGGGUGUAGAAUUCCCGGUGUAGUGGUGGAAUGCGUAGAGAUCGGGAGGAAUACCAGUGGCGAAAGCGGCACCCUGGCCUUGGCCUGACGCUCAGGUGCGAAAGCGUGGGGAGCGAACGGGAUUAGAUACCCCGGUAGUCCACGCNGUAAACGAUGAAUACUAGGUGU